AGAAGCUCAGGCUCAGCUAGAAGCAGCUGCUCACCUGGUAAAGCUGCUGGACUCACCUGCUCAGGGUUUCCUGAAAUCAGGCUGGUCGGAGAAAACAGUCGCUGUGCAGGUUCUCUGCAGAUCAGGAGGUCUGGAGUUUGGAGACCAACAUUUAUCCAAUGGUGGUCUUUGGAGAAAGCAGCUGUUUUUUGUUCACAUCUUCGCUGCGGCUCUGCCGUGUCUGCAGAUCGGACACGUUCAGUCAACUCCACACUGACAGUGGGGAUCACGGACGACUGCUUUAACUCUGGAUCUGAUUUCAUGAAGUGUUCAUUUUUCGAUGAACAUGACUCCAGCAGUAAUCUCACCUGCUCAGACCUGCUGCUCCAUCCAGUCCUCUCCGUGUCCUCCUCCUCCUCCAUCCUC
Long non-coding RNA from Salarias fasciatus (jewelled blenny), 405 nucleotides. RefSeq lists it as uncharacterized. The record is from RefSeq and is a predicted model, not a curated record. The transcript has 3 exons. NCBI's taxonomy places the organism in Eukaryota, Metazoa, Chordata, Actinopteri, Blenniiformes, Blenniidae.